This 205-nucleotide ribosomal RNA is filed under the name uncultured bacterium. RNAcentral's name for it is "partial 16S ribosomal RNA". It matches the Rfam family "Bacterial small subunit ribosomal RNA", at positions 524 to 724 of the family's 1533-position model. The record is from RNAcentral.
UACGUAGGGUGCGAGCGUUGUCCGGAAUUAUUGGGCGUAAAGGGCUCGUAGGCGGUUUGUCGCGUCGGGAGUGAAAAUCCAGGGCUUAACUCUUGGACUGGCUUCCGAUACGGGCAGACUAGAGGUAUGCAGGGGAGAACGAAUUCCUUGGUGUAGCGGUGAAAUGUCGCAGAUAUCAGGAGGAACAUCCGGUGGCGAAAGGCGG